CGGCCACACCCAAAGUACACGCCCUGAAUCCUGCUGCACACAGAGCACGCCCCCACCGCAACGCCUGCGAAACUAGCACACGAUGCAGCCACGUCUGCCACAACACACAGCAGGUUGAAGAGCGCAAUAGAGUGGGCGUUCACCUUCUGGCUUUACAGUUUGUUCUGCUGAGUCUGUACGUCACCUGAUCUCUUUUAGGCUCCCGGAGCCACAUGCUUCGCCUUCUGAUGGCAGCCCAGAGUCCCUGAGAAGUGUCGCUUUGGCAACUGGAGACCUUCCGAGCUUCCUGCUCCUUUUGGGGGCAGUGAUGACACGUCUGGAUUCGAGAAGGAGCAAAGGCCCUGGGGCUCAAUAAGCAUGGUUGUGUUGCCAUCCUGAGGCGAGACACCUGGACAAGAUGUGUGAAUACUAGGGUUUCUGAUACUGAUACAAACUUGUUCCAAUCCAAUCCAACAGCAAUACCAAGGUUACCAUUUUCCCUCUGAGCAAGGCUCGAACAACGUGUCAGUCUCCAACGGGACAGUAAAUACUAUACGAUGAAUAAAAUCAGGUUUCCUAUUUUGUCUGUGUUACCUGAGAAGCCGAGGAGAUCACAGACAUUGGGUGCACGAUGCCAGUGCUGGUGAUUUCGUAAACAAGCUAAGAAAGUGUAAUGAGCAAGGAGACGCACACACACGGGUGUAUCCACCAGAUGGACUUUGGCGGUGUGAGGGAACAGGGACAUGGAAACUGGAGCCUGAGGUGUAACAGCGGAUGAGCAAAGCUAGGGCUGAGAAAACGAGUUCACGCCAAAGGAACAGCACUCAUGGACACCCUGAGGCAGGAGAGGACAGACGACGCACAGGAUCUCAAAGGAGCAGAGUGGCGACAAAAGGGAAAGCCGGUGAGCCCACACUGGCUGAGACUGAAAGGCUGGGGCGGGAUGCAGACCAGGAAGCCACAUCAGGUUUUGGUGUUUAUGUGCCGGGCAAUGUGACACGUGAAGGACACGUUUUCAACAAGUAUGCAGCAGUAUGUAAGGCAUUCAAAAAUAUGAAAAAGAACACGACCCACACCACCUGGGGUCAACAUCUCUCUGCCUCCAGGUGGAGUCUUGUUGGCUUGAUCUGUGCUCUAGUGGGUUGACCCCUCUGCAACCCCCACUGGCUUCCUCUUGCAUUCGUCCAGGGGGAGCCCAGCAGGAGACUGGAGGACAUAGCAAGUGAGGGAUUGAUUAGGUCAGCCUCCAUCUAUGCAGCCGUUUUGUUCCUGGUAACUGCCUCUUUAGCUCAUCCGGUGGGAAACACCCCAAGGGCCCUUGUGGUGUCCCAGCACCCUGUAAACAGCCCCUCAAAACUUACUCAGUAGAGUGUGCCUGCUGUUCCCUGCAAGGACCCACCUCCUGGGCUCAGGAAUAAAGGACAGGGACAUUUGUGUGUCUCUCCUCGGUUAAAACCCCUUCUUCUCCCUCAAAAGUAACCACUAUACUUCAUGCUGUGUUCUCAUCCCCUUGCUUGGUUUUCUGCUCUUAGCCCCUCACUUACAGCCGCAGCUCCCAGCGCUCUGCCCCGCACUUUCUAUUCCAGUGCAGUCUUGGGAUCAACUUCCAGUUUUCAGCAAUAGCAUUUUUUCGUUGUUUUUGUUUUGUCUGAGGACUUGCUCUGGCCAUCAAAGUCUACUUUGUCCCCAUCACCGCAUGCCAGAAGUACCCGGGGAUUAAUACCUCCUCCCAGCAGCCCUCAAACAAAUAUGGACGGGAGUUGGUGCAUACAUACUCCAGCUCCCUCACUUUUCCGAUGAGAUAUCCUGGGACACAGGGUUUCUCUGGAGGAUUAAGCUCUGCUUACCCAGCAAGGAAGGUGCUUUGACACUGCACCUCUCACUGGCUCCCUUCCCCUCCCUCUCACUACCUCUCUUCCUGACUCGUGUUUUCUAAGAUCGGCUCUUAAUUUUUUUUUUAAAGUUUAUUUAUUUUUGACAGAGAGAGAGACAGAGCAUGAGUGGAGGAGGGGCAGAGAGAGGGAGACACAGGAUCAGAAGCAGGCUCCAGGCUCUGAGCCAUCAGCACAGAGCCCGACGCGGGGCUCGAACUCACGGACCUCGAGAUCAUGACCUGAGCCGAAAUUGGACGCUCAACCGACUGGGCCACCCAGAUGCCCCAAGGCUCUUAAUUUUUUUUAAAAAAUUUAAUGCUUAUUUAUUUUUGAGAGACGGGGCACAAGUCAGGGAGGGGCAGAGAGGACACACAGAAUCCGAAGCAGGCUCCAGGCUCCGAGCUGUCAGCACAGAGCCUGAUGCCAGGCUUGAACUCACAAGCCAUGAGAUCAUGAUCGGAUCCGAAGUCAGACACUAAACUGACUGAGUCACCCAGGCACCUUGAUCAGCUCUUAAUUUUACCUCACAUUCCCUUUUGUGCAAUAAGAGGUAUGUAUCUUUAAGCAAACAAAGUAUUUUGCAUACUUCUAGGCUUUCUAAAAUUGAUAUUACAUUGCCUGAAAUUUUCUGUAACUGGUAUCUGUUCUAUAUCGUGUUUGUUAGGUUCGCCCAUAAUAGUAUCAAUUUCUGUGAUUUGUUCAUUUUCACUGCUGCAUAAUAUUUCAUCGCACACACAGUCAUUCCCCUUUGAUGGGCCCAUAAAUGUUUCUUUUGCUAUUUGAAGCAGUACCGCUAAGAACAUUCUUAUCUUCAUAUCUUUUUUGCCUAUGUAACAGGUUUUCUUGGCUAAAAACCUAAGAAUAGAAUUGGUGGCUUCUAGGGGAUGCAAGUUUUCAGAUAUAGUUGUUCUCUAGAGCGGUUGUACCAAAUGAUACGCUCCCUAGCAGCGUUUAUGAUUUUUGUUGCUCUCUCUCUUGCCAGCACUCGAUAUUGUCAGACUUUCCAACACCUUCUUGUGUUGGGAGGUAUCAUUAGAGUUUCAAAUUGCAUUUCCUUGCUUAAUGGGAGGUUGAACAUCUUUUCAUACGUAUGGAGGGGGUAAUUUUUGUGAAUGGCUGGUUAAUAAUUUUUCUUUGGGGUUGAUUUUCCUGUAUUUUAAUUGUUUUCAAACCUUUCAACAUUCUGUGUAUAAUUAUUUCUUGAUUAGAUAAAUAUUAGACACUAGACA
Molecule: long non-coding RNA, 3082 nt
Organism: Neofelis nebulosa (Clouded leopard)
Lineage: Eukaryota; Metazoa; Chordata; Mammalia; Carnivora; Felidae
Exons: 2
Source: RefSeq, a predicted model, not a curated record